RNAcentral lists this ribosomal RNA (468 nucleotides) under uncultured bacterium. Its description in RNAcentral is "partial 16S ribosomal RNA". It matches the Rfam family "Bacterial small subunit ribosomal RNA", at positions 28 to 507 of the family's 1533-position model. The record is from RNAcentral.
GACGAACGCUGGCGGCGUGCUUAACACAUGCAAGUCGAACGGAAAGGCCCUGCUUUUGUGGGGUGCUCGAGUGGCGAACGGGUGAGUAACACGUGAGUAACCUGCCCUUGACUUUGGGAUAACUUCAGGAAACUGGGGCUAAUACCGGAUAGGAGCUCCUGCUGCAUGGUGGGGGUUGGAAAGUUUCGGCGGUUGGGGAUGGACUCGCGGCUUAUCAGCUUGUUGGUGGGGUAGUGGCUUACCAAGGCUUUGACGGGUAGCCGGCCUGAGAGGGUGACCGGCCACAUUGGGACUGAGAUACGGCCCAGACUCCUACGGGAGGCAGCAGUGGGGAAUAUUGCGCAAUGGGCGGAAGCCUGAUGCAGCAACGCCGCGUGCGGGAUGACGGCCUUCGGGUUGUAAACCGCUUUCGCCUGUGACGAAGCGUGAGUGACGGUAAUGGGUAAAGAAGCACCGGCUAGCUACGUG